Non-coding RNA from Agelaius phoeniceus (red-winged blackbird), 191 nucleotides. The record is from RefSeq and is a predicted model, not a curated record. NCBI's taxonomy places the organism in Eukaryota, Metazoa, Chordata, Aves, Passeriformes, Icteridae.
GAGGUGGCCUUUCUUUGCACCUGAGACUGGAAUACCCAGAUGUCUGAGAGACAAGUGCAGAAGGAUGAAAUCCAGGGCAGAGCCCCUCAUCCCGGGUGAGGGGAUUCCCCCGAGCAGGAAGUCAAGGCCAAGUGGGCGAGGUGGUCCACUUGCCAUCUAUCCUGGCCGGGCAUGCCCAUUCCAGCUGUGUG